RNAcentral lists this non-coding RNA (31 nucleotides) under Homo sapiens (human). The record is from RNAcentral. Lineage: Eukaryota; Metazoa; Chordata; Mammalia; Primates; Hominidae.
UGUGGAGUGAGGGGACCCUGCUCCUCCCGGC